GUCACCAGCCAUAUCACCCUGUAGCCCAAGAAUGGUUGCCCACUGAAGCUAAGCAGGGUUGAGCCUGGUCAGUACCUGGAUGGUAGACCUCCUGGGAAAACUAUGUUGCUGCUGUAA
Molecule: ribosomal RNA, 117 nt
Organism: Sinocyclocheilus grahami
Lineage: Eukaryota; Metazoa; Chordata; Actinopteri; Cypriniformes; Cyprinidae
Source: Ensembl